AUUGAACGCUGGCGGCAGGCCUAACACAUGCAAGUCGAACGAGUGCCGGACGGGGGUGUAACGUCUGGGAAACUGCCUGAUGGAGGGGGAUAACUACUGGAAACGGUAGCUAAUACCGCUUACCAUCAGGUGUGCCCAGAUGGGAUUAUCUAGUUGGUGGGGUAACGGCUCACCAAGGCGACGAUCCCUAGCUGGUCUGAGAGGAUGACCAGCCACACUGGAACUGAGACACGGUCCAGACUCCUACGGUAGGCAGCAGUGGGGAAUAUUGCACAAUGGGCGCAAGCCUGAUGCAGCCAUGCCGCGUGUAUGAAGAAGGCCUUCGGGUUGUAAAGUACUUUCAGCGGGGAGGCGUUACCCGCAGAAGAAGCACCGGCUAACUCCGUGCCAGCAGCCGCGGUAAUUC
RNAcentral lists this ribosomal RNA (406 nucleotides) under uncultured bacterium. Its description in RNAcentral is "partial 16S ribosomal RNA". It matches the Rfam family "Bacterial small subunit ribosomal RNA", at positions 30 to 526 of the family's 1533-position model. The record is from RNAcentral.